GACAGAGGUCUCAAGCGUUAGGCGGAAUCACUGGGCUUAAAGCGUGUGUAGGCGGAUGUCUAAGUGCUUUGUGAAAUCCCACGGCUUAACCGUGGAACUGCUUGGCAUACUGGAUGUCUUGAGCCAACUAGGGGCGACCGGAACAAACGGUGGAGCGGUGAAAUGCGUAGAUAUCGUUUGGAACGCCAAUGGUGAAAACAGGUCGCUGGGGUUGUGCUGACGCUGAGACACGAAAGCCAGGGGAG
RNAcentral lists this ribosomal RNA (245 nucleotides) under uncultured bacterium. RNAcentral describes it as "partial 16S ribosomal RNA". It matches the Rfam family "Bacterial small subunit ribosomal RNA", at positions 524 to 768 of the family's 1533-position model. The record is from RNAcentral.